RNAcentral lists this ribosomal RNA (442 nucleotides) under uncultured bacterium. Its description in RNAcentral is "partial 16S ribosomal RNA". It matches the Rfam family "Bacterial small subunit ribosomal RNA", at positions 338 to 795 of the family's 1533-position model. The record is from RNAcentral.
CCUACGGGGUGCAGCAGUGGGGAAUAUUGGGCAAUGGGCGCAAGCCUGACCCAGCAACGCCGCGUGAAGGAAGAAGGCUUUCGGGUUGUAAACUUCUUUUGUCAGGGAAGAGUAGAAGACGGUACCUGACGAAUACGCCACGGCUAACUACGUGCCAGCAGCCGCGGUAAUACGUAGGUGGCAAGCGUUGUCCGGAUUUACUGGGUGUAAAGGGCGUGUAGCCGGGUUGACAAGUCAGAUGUGAAAUCCUGCGGCUUAACCGCAGAACUGCAUUUGAAACUGUUGAUCUUGAGUACUGGAGAGGCAGAGGGAAUUCCUAGUGUAGCGGUGAAAUGCGUAGAUAUUAGGAGGAACACCAGUGGCGAAGGCGGUCUGCUGGACAGCAACUGACGGUGAGGCGCGAAAGCGUGGGGAGCAAACAGGAUUAGAUACCCGAGUAGUC